This 494-nucleotide ribosomal RNA is filed under the name uncultured bacterium. RNAcentral describes it as "partial 16S ribosomal RNA". It matches the Rfam family "Bacterial small subunit ribosomal RNA", at positions 28 to 507 of the family's 1533-position model. The record is from RNAcentral.
GACGAACGCUGGCGGCGCGCUUAACACAUGCAAGUCGAACGGAAAGGCCUGCUUUCCCUUGUGGAUUGCGGGUACUCGAGUGGCGAACGGGUGAGUAACACGUGAGUGAUCUGCCCCCAACUUGGGUAUAAGCCUGGGAAACUGGGUCUAAUUCCCGAUAGGGCUGCAGGGUGGUGCCUGUGGUGGAAAACGAUUUUCUAGUGGUUGGGGAUGAGCUCGCGGCCUAUCAGCUUGUUGGUGGGGUAAUGGCCUACCAAGGCGGCGACGGGUAGCCGGCCUGGGAGGGUGGACGGCCACAUUGGGACUGAGAUACGGCCCAGACUGCUACGGGAGGCAGCAGUGGGGAAUAUAGCACAAUGGGCGGAAGCCUGAUGCAGCGACGCCGCGUGGGGGAUGACGGCCUUCGGGUUGUAAACUCCUUUCGACCGAGAGGAAGCCACCUGGUUGGAAGGGUGGUGACGGUAGUGGUAGAAGAAGCACCGGCUAACUACGUG